Molecule: ribosomal RNA, 492 nt
Filed under: uncultured bacterium
Lineage: Bacteria
Description: partial 16S ribosomal RNA
Rfam family: Bacterial small subunit ribosomal RNA
Source: RNAcentral
AGUGAACGCUGGCGGUAGGCCUAACACAUGCAAGUCGAACGGCAGCACAGUAAGAGCUUGCUCUUACGGGUGGCGAGUGGCGGACGGGUGAGGAAUACAUCGGAAUCUACUUUUUCGUGGGGGAUAACGUAGGGAAACUUACGCUAAUACCGCAUACGACCUACGGGUGAAAGCAGGGGAUCUUCGUACCUUGCGCGAUUGAAUGAGCCGAUGUCGGAUUAGCUAGUUGGCGGGGUAACGGCCCACCAAGGCGACGAUCCGUAGCUGGUCUGAGAGGAUGAUCAGCCACACUGGAACUGAGACACGGUCCAGACUCCUACGGGAGGCAGCAGUGGGGAAUAUUGGACAAUGGGCGCAAGCCUGAUCCAGCCAUACCGCGUGGGUGAAGAAGGCCUUCGGGUUGUAAAGCCCUUUUGUUGGGAAAGAAAAGCAGCAGGUUAAUACCCCGCUGUUCUGACGGUACCCAAAGAAUAAGCACCGGCUAACUUCGUG